This 2748-nucleotide unclassified non-coding RNA is filed under the name Mizuhopecten yessoensis (Yesso scallop). RNAcentral's name for it is "protein IMPACT-like, transcript variant X3". Lineage: Eukaryota; Metazoa; Mollusca; Bivalvia; Pectinida; Pectinidae. The record is from RNAcentral.
UACAAAAUGGCCGCGCCCGUACUGCAAUGUGUAUCACAAGUCGGUGAAAUCUGACAAGCUGGUCACGUACAAGAAAAUGUGGUAUAUGAUUAAACGGAGAUAAGCAAUGUCAGAUGACGCUUCCACAAGACAGGAAGAAGAGGUGGAAGCGCUUGCAGCCAUUUACGGAGAUGACUGGUGUGUGGUCAGUGAACAAGCCCACAUCUACAGCAUACAAGUCAGAAAUGAGGACCCGAAAUCACACAGAACCAUCAAUGUGGAGAUUACCAUGCCUCCCGGCUAUCCGACAGAGUCACCUCCCUUAUACCAGCUGACGGCCCCUUGGCUUCGCAGAGAGGAAAAACAGACUCUGGAAGAUUCGUUAGCCGAUAUCUAUUGUGAAAACCUUGGGGAAAGCAUGAUCUAUCUUUGGAUUGAACGGAUCCGGGAGGUAGUGCAGGCUCAACUAGACAAUAGUCAAUCAGAUUCUUCACCACAAACUUCACAGUCAGCAUCAGCUGUCAGGGAUGAGGAUGAAAAUGACGGUGAAUUUGACCUCUCUGACCUGGUAAUCACCACAAUUGAACAACCAGACGAUGGAGAAGUCAUGGAGUGCCCUCCCAUUAAUAGUGGAGAACCAAUUGUGGACAGACGCAGUACAUUCCAAGGUCAUCUGGCACCUGUGGUUCAUAAAAAACAGGUUAAGCAGAUACUGGACACACUCUACCAAAACAAGAAGAUAGCCAAUGCUACGCACAAUAUAUACGCCUACAGGAUAUGUCAGGGUGGUACGGUUUACCAGGGCUGUGAGGAUGACGGAGAAACCAACGCUGGCUCCCGCAUGCUUCACCUACUACAGAUCUUGGAUUCUGAUAAUGUGAUGGUAGUGGUUUCAAGGUGGUAUGGAGGGAUACUUCUGGGGCCUGAUCGCUUCAAGCACAUCAACAAUGCUGCAAGGGGACUGCUAGAGGAACAUGGUUACAUCAAGUCAAAGGAAUCAAAGAAAGGACCUAAAAGUGGCGGGAAAAAGAAAAGAUGAUGAAGCUUUAUUUGUAUCAUUAAAACACCAUUAAAUUCUAUGAAUGUGGAGAUGAGGAUCCAUUAAAUUCUAUGAAUGUGGAGAUGAGGAUCCAUUAAAUUCUAUGAAUGUGGAGAUGAGGAUCCAUUAAAUUCUAUGAAUGUGGAGAUGAGGAUCCAUUAAAUUCUAUGAAUGUGGAGAUGAGGAUCCAUUAAAUUCUAUGAAUGUGGAGAUGAGGAUCCAUUAAAUUCUAUGAAUGUGGAGAUGAGGAUCCAUUAAAUUCUAUGAAUGUGGAGAUGAGGAUCCAUUAAAUUCUAUGAAUGUGGAGAUGAGGAUCCAUUAAAUUCUAUGAAUGUGGAGAUGAGGAUCCAUUAAAUUCUAUGAAUGUGGAGAUGAGGAUCCAUUAAAUUCUAUGAAUGUACGGGACAGUAAGUUUGUUUGGAGAUGGGGAUACAGUAAAACCUUUAACUUGUAUGAUACUUUCACUCUUCCAAAGAUUUUUUAUUCAACAUCGGUCAUUGGACUCUAGAAAGGGUAUUUAGCUUGAUGAAAGAUGCUUGACCCAUCGAUCCUAACUGCAUACUGUGAAAGUGUUUUAUUUUAAUGGACUCUUGUUUUGACCGAAUUUUAAUUCCCGAAGGGUAAAGGAUGACAGCUGCUGUCAAUAUAUUUGUUUUUUGCGACAUUCUAAUUUUCAUGACUUUGUGGUAACAAUCUUUCUGGAAAAAAGUACAACCCACAAAAUAAGUAGGAUUUUUUUCUUUUCUUUACUGUAGACUAUGUUACAUGACCACUAGACUCAAGAUCUGGGGAAAUCUUAUUUGGCAAAAUUGACCAUUCCAGCAAAUCCACAAAAAUAUGGGAACCUUGAAAGAAAAGAAAAUACUUUUACUAUAUAUAUAUAUCAAAACUAAUAGAGGUUUCUGAAGACUCUCAUCCUGAAGAGGCCCAAAUAUAAAUACAUGUAUUACGUAAAAUUUAAGUGAUUUACAUCGUAAGAACAGAAAUGGAAAUAAUUAAGGAUUGACCUUCAUUUUGACGGCCUAUACGGUAGUAUGAACGCACAUAUUUUAUUGGGCGUGUUAGCGGACGAAUGUGGCAAAAAAACAUAUAAUUAUGAUAAUAACACUAAUGAGUCCAGCGAAGAGGGUCCUUAGAAUGGAAUCUGUGCUGAAAAAUAUCAUUAAGUAUCAUUAAGUAAAAGGAAGCCGCCAUUGUUUACUUAACCGUCAAAUAGUUUCGAAUGUGCAUUCAUGGAAUAAGACGUUGGCCAGCAUCACUUUGUUGUAUAAUCAGACAUAAUGAGUCCCAAAUACGUUCCAUGUUUAAUUUGUAGAUGUUGAAGGAACUAAACAGUGGCUGUCAUUAAGCAGUUAUCUCGCUGACCCGCGCCAUAUUUGAAAUGGGUAUCAUUCCGCAAAGCGUUUUUUCCUUGCAUAUAUGCUAAUGUUUUCGAAAUCAGAGUUUACUAAGCUGAUAUGUAAAUGUAAAUAAAAUGUGUAUUAGGGUGCUAUAAGGGAGUGUUAAAGUGUAGGAGCAUGUUAUAUUGAAAUGUUCUUCAGGUUCAUUUGCAUAUCAUCAUUCUUAUUUAUGAACAUGUGUAGACUCUUAUCAUGAUCUGAUUCAGAUUCAAAAUCAGAUUCUUUAUUAGCCGAAAGCCAUACGACUCGUAGGCGCAACAAUAAUACAAGUACAUAUAGCAUACAAAUAUACAAGACUAAAACACACACACACACCCUCAAUCGCCCCGC